AAGUUUUCACUGAUUCAACUUUGUUCUAAGUUCAAUGAACAAGCACUUUGUUGUCUUCACUUAAAUGAAGUAGCCCUAACAAAACACGUCACAUGCUCGUUACUGCCACCUCUGGCCAGACCUGUUUACAUCACUUUGCCCUGUUGGAAGAAAAGCACAUGGAGGAAUCGUCUCAAUUUUCAUCCGACGUAAUCCGUCAAUAUUCAGUGUUUUUGAAGAGUGUUAAUGAAGUGGACCUGUAAACUGAGCCCAUUUUCAACGUGGAAUCAGAGGGUCAUCAGAAGACAUACUCUGACGCACGGACAGCACAGCCACUUUUGCCCCUUGCUCUGCUUGUUUUGACCUGAACGGACAUUUCUGUACACACAAUUGAUUUUUUAUUUUAUAGUGUCACCAGGUAUUAACAGAAUUGCCUGUUUAUCUUUUUUUUUUUGUUGUCAUAUUCUGCAUUCUGCAUUCACUGCAUCCUCACGGAAUUCAACUGUCUGAUGUCUGCUGAUCUCUUGAGAACCUUCCUCAGUGAACUUGAUGAAUAUCUGCCCAUGUUUCUUGUCCUUUUCAGAAAAAGGGACCCUGCCAUCACAAGCUCCAAGACAUUCUUAGAUGGCUUGAUGCUCAUGAUUCCAACAGAAUAAGCGAACAACAGUCCUGCUUGGCAUGCCCCACUUUCUUCGUCAAGAUACUUCCAGCAUUCUAAAGACCUGUGAGCCAACUGGUCCAGUUGAAGAUGUCUUAAAAGAAACCAGUGUGGGGAUCCUGAUCGUGUAUGAGGACUGCAGCAAAUGCGUGGUUCUACA
Long non-coding RNA from Alosa sapidissima (American shad), 797 nucleotides. RefSeq lists it as uncharacterized. Lineage: Eukaryota; Metazoa; Chordata; Actinopteri; Clupeiformes; Clupeidae. The record is from RefSeq and is a predicted model, not a curated record. The transcript is spliced from 4 exons.